UACAGAGGUCUCAAGCGUUGUUCGGAUUCAUUGGGCGUAAAGGGUGCGUAGGUGGCGCGGUAAGUCGGGUGUGAAAUUUCGGGAGCUUAACUCCGAAACUGCAUUCGAUACUGCCGUGCUUGAGGACUGGAGAGGAGACUGGAAUUUACGGUGUAGCAGUGAAAUGCGUAGAGAUCGUAAGGAAGACCAGUGGCGAAGGCGGGUCGUCUGGACGAGUUCCUGACAGCUGAGG
This 232-nucleotide ribosomal RNA is filed under the name uncultured bacterium. Its description in RNAcentral is "partial 16S ribosomal RNA". It matches the Rfam family "Bacterial small subunit ribosomal RNA", at positions 524 to 751 of the family's 1533-position model. The record is from RNAcentral.